Molecule: long non-coding RNA, 792 nt
Organism: Alligator mississippiensis (American alligator)
Lineage: Eukaryota; Metazoa; Chordata; Crocodylia; Alligatoridae
Exons: 2
Source: RefSeq, a predicted model, not a curated record
UCAAAACAGCAUGCAAAACUCACCCCAGCUUGGGGAGUGACACAUGCAGGACAUUUUUUCUCAUCUGAUGAAACGCCCACACACAUAAAGGAUGUCUCAGUGGCUCCAGGAAGUCCAAGGAAACAUAUAAAAGCACUUGCAGCUCAGAGCUCUUCUAAUCACUCUCCGGCAUUUCUCUUCCUGGCUGAACCAAGUGUAGCUGAAUUGCAGAAAGAUGUCCUUCAACCGCCAGCUGCUCAGCUCCCGCUGCUUCAACCCCUGUGAGGUGACCUGCCCUCAGCCAUACGCCAAUGCCUGGAACGAGCCCUGCGUCACAUCCUGCGGCGACUCCAGAGCCGUGGUCUACCCACCCCCAGUGGUAGUCACCUUCCCAGGACCCAUCCUCAGCUCCUGCCCCCAGGAGAGCUACGUGGGAACCUCGGAGCCGCUCCAGAUCGGCAGCUCCUUUCUCUCCAGGGGCUCUGUUGGGUCCAGGAGCUCCUUAGGAUGCCUGUACCCUUACUAUUCCCAGCAAUACAACUGUGGGUCCUGUUAAACCCCGCAGGAAAAAUCACGGCACAGGGAACAGCACGGGAGUGGAAACCAAGACCACCAUGAAUGCAUCGAGGGGCAUGGCUUUCAGAAGAUCUCAACACCAAUGUUCCCACUGAAAUCAGGGAGCUCUGAGCUCUCUGCACCUUGGAGAGUUUGGGGGCAGAUAUUGGCUAAAGUCCUUCCCAAAAUGUUCUCUGCAUGAUUAUGUCCUGUUACGGCCACUUCUUAUUCCCAUUAAAGGUUGUGCUGCAUGGCAAA